GGGGGUGCAGCUUAGUGGUGGCGUACAAGCUUAGCAGGCAUGAGGCACUGGGUUCCAUCCCCAGCACCACCA
RNAcentral lists this transfer RNA (72 nucleotides) under Marmota marmota marmota (Alpine marmot). It matches the Rfam family "tRNA". From Rfam's summary of the family: Transfer RNA (tRNA) molecules are approximately 80 nucleotides in length. Their secondary structure includes four short double-helical elements and three loops (D, anti-codon, and T loops). Further hydrogen bonds mediate the characteristic L-shaped molecular structure. tRNAs have two regions of fundamental functional importance: the anti-codon, which is responsible for specific mRNA codon recognition, and the 3' end, to which the tRNAs corresponding amino acid is attached (by aminoacyl-tRNA synthetases). tRNAs cope with the degeneracy of the genetic code in two manners: having more than one tRNA (with a specific anti-codon) for a particular amino acid; and 'wobble' base-pairing, i.e. permitting non-standard base-pairing at the 3rd anti-codon position. RNAcentral also lists the same sequence under 1 other name. The record is from Rfam by way of RNAcentral. Lineage: Eukaryota; Metazoa; Chordata; Mammalia; Rodentia; Sciuridae.